GCACGGGUGCGUAACGCGUGGGAAUCUGCCCUUGGGUUCGGAAUAACAGUUAGAAAUGACUGCUAAUACCGGAUGAUGACGUAAGUCCAAAGAUUUAUCGCCCAAGGAUGAGCCCGCGUAGGAUUAGGUAGUUGGUGAGGUAAAGGCUCACCAAGCCGACGAUCCUUAGCUGGUCUGAGAGGAUGAUCAGCCACACUGGGACUGAGACACGGCCCAGACUCCUACGGGAGGCACCAGUGGGGAAUAUUGGACAAUGGGCGAAAGCCUGAUCCAGCAAUGCCGCGUGAGUGAUGAAGGCCUUAGGGUUGUAAAGCUCUUUUACCCGGGAUGAUAAUGACAGUACCGGGAGAAUAAGCUCCGGCUAACUCCGUGCCAGCAGCCGCGGUAAUACGGAGGGAGCUAGCGUUGUUCGGAAUUACUGGGCGUAAAGCGCACGUAGGCGGCUUUGUAAGUUAGAGGUGAAAGCCCGGGGCUCAACCCCGGAAUUGCCUUUAAGACUGCAUCGCUCGAAUCCAGGAGAGGUGAGUGGAAUUCCGAGUGUAGAGGUGAAAUUCGUAGAUAUUCGGAAGA
Molecule: ribosomal RNA, 570 nt
Filed under: uncultured Alphaproteobacteria bacterium
Lineage: Bacteria; Pseudomonadati; Pseudomonadota; Alphaproteobacteria
Description: bacterial SSU rRNA
Rfam family: Bacterial small subunit ribosomal RNA
Source: RNAcentral